AGUGGAUGGGGAGCAACCUAGUUGUGCGUGUGUAAAGGUAGUGCCAAGAAAAGCGAUGAUCAUGUUGAAAAUCAAUUCCCGGUACCCGAAACCGACACAGGUGGGCAAGUAGAGAAUACUAAGGGGCGCGAGGUAACUCUCUCCAAGGAACUCGGCAAAAUGACCCCGUAACUUAGGGAGAAGGGGUGCCACCGAGAGGUGGUCGCAGUGAAGAGGCCCAGGCGACUGUUUAGCAAAAACAUAGGUCUCUGCAAACUCGAAAGAGGAGGUAUAGGGGCUGACGCCUGCCCAGUGCCGGAAGGUUAAAGAAGUUGGUCAGUUUUAGGAUGAAGCUAGCGACUGAAGCCCCGGUGAACGGCGGCCGUAACUAUAACGGUCCUAAGGUAGCGAAAUUCCUUGUCGGGUAAGUUCCGACCCGCACGAAAGGCGUAACGAUCUGGGCGCUGUCUCGGAGAGAGGCUCGGCGAAAUAGGAUUGUCUGUGAAGAUACGGACUACCUGCAUUUGGACAGAAAGACCCUAUGAAGCUUUACUAUAGCUUGGAAUUGUGUUCGGGCUUCCUGUGCGCAGGAUAGGUGGGAGGCGUAGAAGGUAUUCUUGUGGGGAUACUGGAGCCAACGGUGAGAUACCACUCUCAGGAGGCUAGAAUUCUAACUUAAUUAAGGACAGUUUUCAGGUGGGUAGUUUGACUGGGGCGGUCGCCUCCAAAAAGGUAACGGAGGCGUACAAAGGUUCCCUCAGACUGGUUGGAAAUCAGUCGAAGAGUGCAAAGGCAGAAGGGAGCUUGACUGCGAGAAGUACAGUUCGAGCAGGGUGGAAACACGGUCUUAGUGAUCCGACGGUGCUGUGUGAAGGGCCGUCGCUCAACGGAUAAAAGUUACUCUAAGGAUAACAGGCUGAUCUCCCCCAAGAGUUCACAUCGACGGGGAGGUUUGGCACCUCGAUGUCGGCUCAUCGCAACCUGGGGCGGAAGUACGUCCCAAGGGUUGGGCUGUUCGCCCAUUAAAGCGGUACGUGAGCUGGGUUCAGAACGUCGUGAGACAGUUCGGUCCAUAUCCGAUGUAGGCGUGAGAAUAUUGAGAGGAGCCUUCCUUAGUACGAGAGGACCGGGAAGGACGCACCGCUGGUGUACCUGUUAUGAUGCCAAUUGUAAACGCAGGGUAGCCAAGUGCGGAGAGGAUAACCGCUGAAAGCAUCUAAGUGGGAAGCCCACCUCAAGAUGAGUAUUCUGGUGUAAGGUCACGGGAAGACGACCCGUAAAUAGGCACGAGGUGGAAGUGCAGAGAUGUAUGAAGCCGAAGUGUACUAAUAGACCGUCGGCUUGACC
This 1326-nucleotide ribosomal RNA is filed under the name metagenome. Its description in RNAcentral is "bacterial LSU rRNA". It matches the Rfam family "Bacterial large subunit ribosomal RNA", at positions 1561 to 2925 of the family's 2925-position model. The record is from RNAcentral.